UACGUAGGGUGCAAGCGUUAUUCGGAAUUAUUGGGCGUAAAGGGCGCGUAGGCGGCCUUGUAAGUCUUGGGUGAAAUCCCUCAGCUCAACUGAGGAACUGCCUCGGAUACUGCAGGGCUUGAGGCCGGGAGAGGGUAGUGGAAUUCCCAGUGUAGCGGUGAAAUGCGUAGAUAUUGGGAGGAACACCGGUGGCGAAGGCGGCUACCUGGACCGGUUCUGACGCUGAUGCGCGAAAGCGUGGGUAGCAAACAGG
RNAcentral lists this ribosomal RNA (253 nucleotides) under uncultured bacterium. RNAcentral describes it as "partial 16S ribosomal RNA". It matches the Rfam family "Bacterial small subunit ribosomal RNA", at positions 524 to 776 of the family's 1533-position model. The record is from RNAcentral.